AGAGUUUGAUUCUGGCUCAGGAUUAACGCUGGCGGCGUGCCUAAUACAUGCAAGUCGAAUGGUAGCAAUACCAUGGCGAACGGGUGAGUAACACGUAGGUAACCUGUCUUUAAGCCGAGGAUAACCAUUGGAAACGAUGGAUAAUACUGGAUAGGACAUUUGAAGGCAUCUUUAGAUGUUUAAAGAUUUAUCACUUAGAGAGGGGCCUGCGGCGCAUUAGCUAGUUGGUGAGGUGAAGGCUUACCAAGGCGAUGAUGCGUAGCCGGACUGAGAGGUUGAACGGCCACAAUGGAACUGAGAACGGUCCAUACUCCUACGGGAGGCAGCAGUAGGGAAUUUUCGGCAAUGGGCGGAAGCCUGACCGAGCAACGCCGCGUGAACGAAGAAGUAUUUCGGUAUGUAAAGUUCUUUUAUUAGGGACGAAAAGACAGAUUGACGGUACCUAAUGAAUAAGCUCCGGCUAACUACGUGCCAGCCGCCGC
Molecule: ribosomal RNA, 482 nt
Filed under: uncultured bacterium
Lineage: Bacteria
Description: bacterial SSU rRNA
Rfam family: Bacterial small subunit ribosomal RNA
Source: RNAcentral